CGCUGGCGGCAGGCCUAACACAUGCAAGUCGAGCGGCAGCGCGUCCGACCACCCUCGGGUGGUCGGAUGGCGGCGAGCGGCGGACGGGUGGGGAAUGCAUCGGAAUCUGCCUCGUUGUGGGGGAUAACGUAGGGAAACUUACGCUAAUACCGCAUACGACCUACGGGUGAAAGUGGGGGACCUUCGGGCCUCACGCGAUGAGAUGAGCCGAUGCCGGAUUAGCUAGUUGGCGGGGUAAAGGCCCACCAAGGCGACGAUCCGUAGCUGGUCUGAGAGGAUGGCCAGCCACACUGGAACUGAGACACGGUCCAGACUCCUACGGGAGGCAGCAGUGGGGAAUAUUGGACAAUGGGGGCAACCCUGAUCCAGCCAUGCCGCGUGUGUGAAGAAGGCCUUCGGGUUGUAAAGCACUUUAAGCGAGGAGGAAGGUUUUUAGUUUAAUACACUAAAGAAUUGACGUUACUCGCAGAAUAAGCACCGGCUAACUCUGUG
RNAcentral lists this ribosomal RNA (492 nucleotides) under uncultured bacterium. RNAcentral's name for it is "bacterial SSU rRNA". It matches the Rfam family "Bacterial small subunit ribosomal RNA", at positions 34 to 507 of the family's 1533-position model. The record is from RNAcentral.